AAUAGUUUUUUAAUUAAUGUAGAAGUGUAAAAAAAUAUAGAAAAAAUAUAUAAACACUCGUAAUAACAAGCUUUUUUCAACGAUCCAACCGUCAAACUUAUUUGUACACAUUCCAAGAUUGCAUACGUAAAAAAUUGUAAAAAAACAAACAUUCAAAUAUUACGUAACGGAACAAAAGUUAUCGACGGUUAUAAACAAAAAAUCACAAUUUAACGGUUAUUUUAGCUCCGAUUUUGAUGAUUUUUUACAGAUACACU
Molecule: long non-coding RNA, 257 nt
Filed under: Malus domestica (apple)
Lineage: Eukaryota; Viridiplantae; Streptophyta; Magnoliopsida; Rosales; Rosaceae
Description: long non-coding RNA (MDOM_LNC004583)
Source: RNAcentral